UGAGUAACGCGUGAGGAACCUGCCUUCCAGAGGGGGACGAACAGUUGGAAACGACUGCUAAUACCGCAUGAUGUGUUUCGAUGGCAUCAUCGAGACACCAAAGAUUUAUCGCUGGAAGAUGGCCUCGCGUCUGAUUAGCUAGUAGGCGGGGUAACGGCCCACCUAGGCGACGAUCAGUAGCCGGACUGAGAGGUUGACCGGCCACAUUGGGACUGAGAUACGGCCCAGACUCCUACGGGAGGCAGCAG
This 248-nucleotide ribosomal RNA is filed under the name uncultured bacterium. RNAcentral's name for it is "partial 16S ribosomal RNA". It matches the Rfam family "Bacterial small subunit ribosomal RNA", at positions 107 to 354 of the family's 1533-position model. The record is from RNAcentral.